RNAcentral lists this ribosomal RNA (457 nucleotides) under Staphylococcus aureus. Its description in RNAcentral is "partial 23S ribosomal RNA". It matches the Rfam family "Bacterial large subunit ribosomal RNA", at positions 1101 to 1559 of the family's 2925-position model. Lineage: Bacteria; Bacillati; Bacillota; Bacilli; Caryophanales; Staphylococcaceae. The record is from RNAcentral.
UUGGCUUAGAAGCAGCCAUCAUUUAAAGAGUGCGUAAUAGCUCACUAGUCGAGUGACACUGCGCCGAAAAUGUACCGGGGCUAAACAUAUUACCGAAGCUGUGGAUUGUCCUUUGGACAAUGGUAGGAGAGCGUUCUAAGGGCGUUGAAGCAUGAUCGUAAGGACAUGUGGAGCGCUUAGAAGUGAGAAUGCCGGUGUGAGUAGCGAAAGACGGGUGAGAAUCCCGUCCACCGAUUGACUAAGGUUUCCAGAGGAAGGCUCGUCCGCUCUGGGUUAGUCGGGUCCUAAGCUGAGGCCGACAGGCGUAGGCGAUGGAUAACAGGUUGAUAUUCCUGUACCACCUAUAAUCGUUUUAAUCGAUGGGGGGACGCAGUAGGAUAGGCGAAGCGUGCGAUUGGAUUGCACGUCUAAGCAGUAAGGCUGAGUAUUAGGCAAAUCCGGUACUCGUUAAGGCUGA